This 244-nucleotide ribosomal RNA is filed under the name uncultured bacterium. RNAcentral describes it as "partial 16S ribosomal RNA". It matches the Rfam family "Bacterial small subunit ribosomal RNA", at positions 524 to 767 of the family's 1533-position model. The record is from RNAcentral.
UACGUAGGGUGCAAGCGUUAAUCGGAAUUACUGGGCGUAAAGCGUGCGCAGGCGGCUUUGCAAGACAGAUGUGAAAUCCCCGGGCUCAACCUGGGAACUGCAUUUGUGACUGCAAGGCUAGAGUACGGUAGAGGGGGAUGGAAUUCCGCGUGUAGCAGUGAAAUGCGUAGAUAUGCGGAGGAACACCGAUGGCGAAGGCAAUCCCCUGGACCUGUACUGACGCUCAUGCACGAAAGCGUGGGGA